Molecule: transfer RNA, 111 nt
Filed under: Ophiostoma piceae UAMH 11346
Lineage: Eukaryota; Fungi; Ascomycota; Sordariomycetes; Ophiostomatales; Ophiostomataceae
Rfam family: tRNA
About the family: Transfer RNA (tRNA) molecules are approximately 80 nucleotides in length. Their secondary structure includes four short double-helical elements and three loops (D, anti-codon, and T loops).
Source: Rfam by way of RNAcentral
GGCCCCUUGGCCUAAUGGUAAGGCGUUGCUUUCCGGUUGUCGCUUCUCGACUAGCUUCGAGAUCAUGUACGCUGCUGGCAAAGAUUCUGGGUUCGAGUCCCAGGGGGGUCG